CUUUUCUGGAGAAAUUCUCAACAUAAGAGAAAAGACCUAUAGAUGUAAAUAUUCAGGAUUCUCCAAAGAAAUGAAGAAUGAAGUAUUAUAAAAAGGGAACUUCCAGUUCUAAAAUGAUGAAGUAGAAUCAACAUUUCUUUUUUCUGAUAUGAAAUAUUCAAAAUCAACAAGGAGACCAAGAAACAGAAAUGCAAAUUUGUCAUCAUCAGGAAAGCUAAGUCUGAAACCCUAAACCCAAAUAUGGGAUUAGGACAGCCAUGGGUCAACCCCAACUGCAAAAAAAGUAUGAGGAGAGGAUACUUGCAACUGCAGAGACCGGAAAAUAAUCAGCAUAGCAUGCUUUCCCCAAAUAAGCGUUGCGUCCCGAGAUACCAAAACAACAGCAGGAAAGGGAUAUCUAGGCUGUUGGUGGCAUCUUCCCUGGACCCUUUCAAUAGAAGUCUUGAGACACACUCCUUCCCAGGUCUUUUACCCUCAUCAUUGAGAUCAAGAGGGCACCCAGCUUCCUCAGACCUCCUUACCUCUACGGAUGAGGACCAAGAGAGAUCCCCAUCUCUCUCUCUAUACCCAACAUUCAGCCUGCUUUCACUACCUGCCUUGAAUGCAGGACUUGAAUCAUUAUGCCCUUUACACACAUUUAAGAUGCCCUGGAGACCCAGCUCACUCUUCGUGUCCUGCACUUCAAUCCCAGAAAGGCUCUGCACAUUCCUUGUUCUGUCAUUUUCCCCUACUAGUGCCUACUCAUAAAACCUUUUUUCUACUGUGCAACAACAAAAUCCCCUAUAUCCUCAACUUCUCUAAACCAUCUUCCCCUUCCUGCUCUAGCAGAAAUCUGACUUUUCCCUGAGGACACUGUAUCUCCUGCAGCCCUCUCAAGGGUGGCUAUUUUCCUCCCACACUGAGCUCCAGGUGAGGUAGGUGUCUUCUUUGCUCCUCAUUGCUGCAUCCAGAUCGUUCUCCCUCUCUUCUCCCUAAAUCUCAGCUUUAAAUAUCAUCUAACAGCUUGUAUUACCCACUACCCCACUGUUGCUGUCAUCUACUCGCCUUGGGACACGCCUCCCCCUUAUUUCUUACAAUUUCAGCCCUUGGCUCAAAAUCACUCUCUAGUACUACUCUUAUCUUAAUUCUUGGUGAUUUCAACAUACAUUUAAGUGAUCUUUCCAACCUCUGGCAUUUCGCUUUCCUGAACUUCUCCAAUGAGUUUGGCCUUUAUCCCAGCUCAGCCACUCACUUCUAUGGUCACACCCUAGACCUGCACUGCUUAGUGUGGGCCGUGGACCAGUGCCAGUGGCAAACUCUUAUUAGUGGUCCAGAUGAGAUCAGCAAAGAAAUUCUAAAGGGCUGGCCCCGUGGCCGAGUGGUUAAGUUCGCGCGCUCCGCUGCAGGCGGACCAGUGUUUCAUCGGUUCGAAUCCUGGGCGUGGACAUGGCACUGCUCAUUAGACCACGCUGAGGCAGCGUCCCACAUGACACAACUAGAGGAACCCACAACGAA
RNAcentral lists this long non-coding RNA (1494 nucleotides) under Equus caballus (horse). Its description in RNAcentral is "lncRNA (ENSECAG00000057465.1)". Lineage: Eukaryota; Metazoa; Chordata; Mammalia; Perissodactyla; Equidae. The record is from RNAcentral.